CCUACGGGUGGCAGCAGUGAGGAAUAUUGGUCAAUGGUCGGGAGCCUGAACCAGCCAAGUCGCGUGAGGGAUGAAGGUACAGCGUAUCGUAAACCUCUUUUGCAAGGGAAUAAAGACUGGGACGCGUCCACGUAUGCGUGUACCUGAAGAAAAAGCACCGGCUAACUCCGUGCCAGCAGCCGCGGUAAUACGGAGGGGGCAAGCGUUAUCCGGAUUUAUUGGGUUUAAAGGGAGCGUAGACGGUGAUGCAAGUCAGAAGUAAAAGCCCGGGGCUCAACUCCGGGACUGCUUUUGAAACUGGGUGACUGGAGUGCAGGAGAGGUAAGCGGAAUUCCUGGUGUAGCGGUGAAAUGCGUAGAUAUCAGGAGGAACACCGGUGGCGAAGGCAGCUUACUGGACUGUAACUGACGUUGAGGCUCGAAGGCGUGGGGAGCAAACAGGAUUAGAUACCCGAGUAGUC
This 460-nucleotide ribosomal RNA is filed under the name uncultured bacterium. RNAcentral describes it as "partial 16S ribosomal RNA". It matches the Rfam family "Bacterial small subunit ribosomal RNA", at positions 338 to 795 of the family's 1533-position model. The record is from RNAcentral.